AAGGUUGUGGUUCAGUGGUAGAAUUUGCUUUGCAUGCAAUGGUUCGCAGGUUCAAUCCCCACCAUCUUCA
Molecule: transfer RNA, 70 nt
Filed under: Sphaerodactylus townsendi
Lineage: Eukaryota; Metazoa; Chordata; Lepidosauria; Squamata; Sphaerodactylidae
Description: tRNA-Ala
Rfam family: tRNA
About the family: Transfer RNA (tRNA) molecules are approximately 80 nucleotides in length.
Source: RNAcentral